RNAcentral lists this ribosomal RNA (498 nucleotides) under uncultured bacterium. RNAcentral's name for it is "partial 16S ribosomal RNA". It matches the Rfam family "Bacterial small subunit ribosomal RNA", at positions 28 to 508 of the family's 1533-position model. The record is from RNAcentral.
GAUGAACGCUGGCGGCGUGCCUAAUACAUGCAAGUCGAGCGAACGGACGAGAAGCUUGCUUUUCUGAUGUUAGCGGCGGACGGGUGAGUAACACGUGGAUAACCUACCUAUAAGACUGGGAUAACUUCGGGAAACCGGAGCUAAUACCGGAUAAUAUUUUGAACCGCAUGGUUCAAAAGUGAAAGACGGUCUUGCUGUCACUUAUAGAUGGAUCCGCGCUGCAUUAGCUAGUUGGUAAGGUAACGGCUUACCAAGGCAACGAUGCAUAGCCGACCUGAGAGGGUGGUCGGCCACCCUGGAACUGAGACACGGUCCAGACUCCUACGGGAGGCAGCAGUAGGGAAUCUUCCGCAAUGGGCGAAAGCCUGACGGAGCAACGCCGCGUGAGUGAUGAAGGUCUUCGGAUCGUAAAACUCUGUUAUUAGGGAAGAACAUAUGUGUAAGUAACUGUGCACAUCUUGACGGUACCUAAUCAGAAAGCCACGGCUAAAUACGUGC